AUAUAUUUAUAUCAUCUUCAAUUGGUUAAGGCCAUUUUAUUAUUAUCCAUUUGUUAGAUCUUAUACAAAUGGCCUUUAUUAAAAUAAACUUUAAUAUUAUAAUAAAAAACUAAAUUAUCUAAAUUUUGAAUGUUUUGUUUCUAAAUUUUAUUAGGUAUAAAUAAUAGUUAUAAGAUAUUUUAUUAGUGGUAUCAAAUAAGUUUUACUAUUUAAUAAAUUAUUAUACCAUUUAAUAUAUUAGGCGAUAUAGUUUCUUCUUUUUCUUUCCAUAAUAUUUAGUUUGAAAUAAUUUGAAAUUUUUGCGAUUUAGUAAUGUCGAAAAUAUAGGUUAUUAUAACGAAACCCCGAAAAACAUUUCUACGUUAUUAUUUACUAGCACGUAAAAUACUAAUUGGUGGUAUACUAAUUGGUGGUUAUAAAUAUUAUUAAAAAUUAUAAUUUGAUUACUUCUUAUUUUAUGCGCGAUUGCGGUAAUUUUCCAUUAUUAUAUCACAGAUUUUAAAUCAAAUUUACAUGGGGUGUAAAAUAUAAAUUUAUAUAUUUUUACCUUUAUUAUAUUUCUCAUAUUAGUAUAUAUAAAUAUAGUUACUAGCCCGAUUUAAUAAUUUAUUCAAAUUGCGGAACCCGCUCGGAUAAUAAAAAGUAGUAAAUGCCUUUUUAAUAUCCAACCCAAAUUACAGAUUCCUUUUAAAGUAAAAUUGAAUGGACUUAAUUAUAAUAAAUAUAUUUAAAUUUAAAUUAAUUAAACGGCCCAUUAAUGGGGUUAUAUUACCUUAUAUAAUAAGCAAAUUUCAUUUUCAAAAUAUUAAUAUAUAAUCGAACGAUUUUAUUUCUAUUAAAUUGUUAUAUUCUUAUGAAAUUUUGCAAAUUUUAAUAUAUAAUAUUUGUAAAAUUGGCGAUAUGUUCUUUUUUAACUAUCAGUUUUAAUAUUAAAACAUUCCCAUUACAUCGCCCCAUCUUCAAAUAUAAAAUACCCCAAUUCGAUUGGAUUUAAAACUGUUAUAUGGAUAAAAAAUAAUAUAAUACUAGCAAGUGCUAAAUAAUUAUAGGAAUAUUAUACCCUACAAAUAUACUUAAAACAUUUGUUUUUAUAUAUAUAAACAAAAAUUAUUAUUAUAACAACGUAAUAAAAAUAUUAGAAAAAACAUAGUUUUAUAUAUUUUAACUUGUUAUUAAUAUGUAUUAUUUUACAUAUAAUAGGUCCCCUUUUAUUUAUAUAUAAGUUUUAAUAUAUAGCGCCGAAGUGGGGUUAUUGGAUUUCCGUUAAUUUAUUAUAUAUAGGAAUUGUAAUUUAAGAGUUAACGCAUAAGAUUAACUACUCCAUAUCGGAUUUAAUAUCCACCCUGCAUUUACAAAUUAUCUGCUUUAUACCAGGUUAAAAACUCCACCAAAUUUUCAUUCAAAUGCAAAUCCAAAGAUUAUUUAUAUGCAAAUAAGGGUAUUUUUUCAAAAGUUUAUAUAAAUUAAUUUUUU
Molecule: small RNA, 1473 nt
Filed under: Pyricularia oryzae
Lineage: Eukaryota; Fungi; Ascomycota; Sordariomycetes; Magnaporthales; Pyriculariaceae
Description: Magnaporthe oryzae sRNA M_BR32_EuGene_00128251
Source: RNAcentral